AUCAUGGCUCAGGAUGAACGCUAGCUACAGGCUUAACACAUGCAAGGUCGAGGGGAAACGAUAGAGAAGCUUGCUUUUUCUAGGCGUCGACCGGCGCACGGGUGAGUAACGCGUAUCCAACCUGCCCAUCACUUGGGGAUAACCUUGCGAAAGUAAGACUAAUACCCAAUGACGUCUCUAGAAGACAUCUGAAGGAGAUUAAAGAUUUAUCGGUGAUGGAUGGGGAUGCGUCUGAUUAGCUUGUUGGCGGGGUAACGGCCCACCAAGGCGACGAUCAGUAGGGGUUCUGAGAGGAAGGCCCCCCACAUUGGAACUGAGACACGGUCCAAACUCCUACGGGAGGCAGCAGUGAGGAAUAUUGGUCAAUGGACGAGAGUCUGAACCAGCCAAGUAGCGUGCAGGAUGACGGCCCUAUGGGUUGUAAACUGCUUUUAUAAGGGAAUAAAGUGAGUCUCGUGAGACUUUUUGCAUGUACCUUAUGAAUAAGGACCGGCUAAUUCCGUG
This 504-nucleotide ribosomal RNA is filed under the name uncultured bacterium. RNAcentral describes it as "bacterial SSU rRNA". It matches the Rfam family "Bacterial small subunit ribosomal RNA", at positions 16 to 507 of the family's 1533-position model. The record is from RNAcentral.